This is a non-coding RNA of Ceratobasidium sp. 370, 99 nucleotides long. NCBI's taxonomy places the organism in Eukaryota, Fungi, Basidiomycota, Agaricomycetes, Cantharellales, Ceratobasidiaceae. The record is from the annotation of a GenBank genome assembly.
UCCCGCUUAGCUCAGUGGUAGAGCGCGUCACUAGUAAGUUUAGUUAGUCGUAUGGCUUAUGCAAUGACGAGGCCGCUUGUUCGAGUCAGGCAGUGGGAA